RNAcentral lists this long non-coding RNA (380 nucleotides) under Vigna radiata. RNAcentral describes it as "long non-coding RNA (VRAD_LNC017472)". The record is from RNAcentral. Lineage: Eukaryota; Viridiplantae; Streptophyta; Magnoliopsida; Fabales; Fabaceae.
UUUUCAUUUAACCACAAUCAAUCAUACUCACAAGCAAGUUAUCAUCACAAGGACUUUUCAUGGCUUAUAAUGAGGCUGGGCUAAGAAGAAUAUUGGUUUUUCUGGAUCACAAAAUCCUUGAGUUAAGAGACUUACUCAAAUUUAUAAUUUAAGCACAAACUCUCUUUAAACAACCAAUCUCACUCAUUCCCAACUUUUCCUUUUCUUUGCAUUGAGCUUUUCUUCUCAUUUUAUCUUUUUUUAUCUUUUUUUAUCUUUUUUAUCUUUUUCAUUUUUUCAUGUUUUGCUCAACACAUUAGCUCAAUGCUUAUCUUUUUCUUUUUCAACUUUCCCAACAACCCCAAACUUGAACCUUUAUCAAUACCACACUAUAAUUCUCA